Long non-coding RNA from Setaria italica (foxtail millet), 249 nucleotides. RefSeq lists it as uncharacterized. Lineage: Eukaryota; Viridiplantae; Streptophyta; Magnoliopsida; Poales; Poaceae. The record is from RefSeq and is a predicted model, not a curated record. The transcript has 3 exons.
GGGCGCCCCAUCGCCGGCGCCCCCCAUCGCCGACUCCUGCCCCUGCUCCUGGUGAAUGACCAGGAGCAUAUAGUGGUACAAUUACAACACAAAAUCAAAUAGGAAGCUACCUGCGAAAAGGAAUUUCUUGAGAAUGGGUGAUAAGGCGGAUUGGGGUGAUACUUUUUUAAGGCAUUUGAUUGAUGCUUGCAAAGAAGAGAUUGAAGCAGGGAAUAGGCCGAUGGGAAUUUUCACUACUACCGGUUGGAA